Molecule: ribosomal RNA, 384 nt
Filed under: uncultured bacterium
Lineage: Bacteria
Description: bacterial SSU rRNA
Rfam family: Bacterial small subunit ribosomal RNA
Source: RNAcentral
AUUGAACGCUGGCGGCAUGCCUUACACAUGCAAGUCGAACGGCAGCGCGGGGCAACCUGGCGGCGAGUGGCGAACGGGUGAGUAAUAUAUCGGAACAUACCCUAGAGUGGGGAUAACGUAGCGAAGUUACGCUAAUACCGCAUACGCACUAAGGUGGAAAGUGGGGGAUUCGCAAGAACCUCAUGCUCAUGGAGUGGCCGAUAUCUGAUUAGCUAGUUGGUGAGGUAAAGGCUCACCAAGGCGACGAUCAGUAGCUGGUUUGAGAGAACGACCAGCCACACUGGAACUGAGACACGGUCCAGACUCCUACGGGAGGCAGCAGUGGGGAAUUUUGGACAAUGGGGGCAACCCUGAUCCAGCAAUGCCGCGUGAGUGAAGAAGGCC